UUUGGAUAACUGUGGUAAUCCUAGAGCUAAUACAUGCAAACCAAGUCCCGACCAGUCUGACUGGGAAGGACGCUUUUAUUAGAUCAAGACCAAUCGCUCGGCUCGUCCGGGCGUAGCCUUGGUGACUCUAGGUAACACAUCAGAUCGCAUGGUCUUUGCACCGGCGACUUAUCCUUCAAAUGCCUGACUUAUCAACUGUCGAUGGUAGACUCUAUGUCUACCAUGGUUGUAACGGGUAACGGGGAAUCAGGGUUCGAUUCCGGAGAGGGAGCCUGAGAAACGGCUACCACAUCCAAGGAAGGCAGCAGGCACGCAAAUUACCCACUCCCGGCACGGGGAGGUAGUGACAAAAAAUAACGAUACGGGACUCUUAUGAGGCCCCGUAAUCGGAAUGAGUACACUUUAAAUCCUUUAACAAGGAUCCAUUGGAGGGCAAGUCUGGUGCCAGCAGCCGCGGUAAUUCCAGCUCCAAUAGCGUAUAUUAAAGUUGUUGCGGUUAAAAAGCUCGUAGUUGGUUCUGCGUGCUACGCUGUCGGUUCGCCGCCUGCCGGUGUAACUGGCAUGCCGUGGCAUGUCCUGUCGGUGGCGUGCGGGAGCCUUGUCUAGGUGACGGUCCUUGCCAAAAGCUUGGUUCCGUAGGCCGGAGGUCCAACCCGUGCGCCUUCUCUAUCCUACCUAGGUGCUCUUCACCGAGUGUCGAGGUAGGCCGACACGUUUACUUUGAACAAAUUAGAGUGCUCAAAGCAGGCUGAAAUCUCUGCCUGAAUAGUGGUGCAUGGAAUAAUAAAACAGGACCUUGGUUCUAUUUUGUUGGUUUUUAGGAACACAAGGUAAUGAUCAAUACGGACAGGCGGGGGCAUUCGUAUUGCGUCCUCCGAUGAGGCGGGGCCGGGAAACCAAAGCUUUUGGGAAAGGGGGAAGUAUGGUUGCAAAGCUGAAACUUAAAGGAAUUGACGGAAGGGCACCACCAGGAGUGGAGCCUGCGGCUUAAUUUGACUCAACACGGGAAACCUCACCAGGCCAGGACAUUGGAAGGAUUGACAGAUUGAUAGCUCUUUCUUGAUUCAGUGGGUAGUGGUGCAUGGCCGUUCUUAGUUGGUGGAUCGAUUUGUCUGGUUAAUUCCGAUAACGAACGAGACUCUAGCCUAUUAACUAGGCGUUUACCGGUGUCCUCGCCACCGGCGACACUCAUUCUUCUUAAGGGGACAGGCGGCUUAUAGCCGCACGAGAUUGAGCAAUAACAGGUCUGUAAUGCCCUUAGAUGUCCUGGGCCGCACGCGCGCUACACUGAAGGAAUCAGCGUGUGCCUCCCUGGCCGAAAGGCCCGGGUAAUCCGCUGAACCUCCUGCGUGCUAGGAAUUGGGGCUUGCAAUUGUUCCCCAUGAACGAGGAAUUCCCAGUAAGCGCGAGUCAUAAGCUCGCGUUGAUUACGUCCCUGCCCUUUGUACACACCGCCCGUCGCUACUACCGAUUGAAUGAUUUAGUGAGGUCUUCGGACUGGCGGUAAUCCCUAUCGACUUGUCGGUAUCGAUGAACGCUGGAAAGAUGACCAAACUUGAUCAUUUAGAGGAAGUAAAAGUCGUAACAAGGUUUCC
Molecule: ribosomal RNA, 1595 nt
Filed under: Deraeocoris olivaceus
Lineage: Eukaryota; Metazoa; Arthropoda; Insecta; Hemiptera; Miridae
Description: SSU rRNA
Rfam family: Eukaryotic small subunit ribosomal RNA
Source: RNAcentral